CAGUAGCCGCGGAAUACGUAGGUGGCAAGCGUUGUCCGGAAUUAUUGGGCGUAAAGGGCUCGCAGGCGGUUUCUUAAGUCUGAUGUGAAAGCCCCCGGCUCAACCGGGGAGGGUCAUUGGAAACUGGGAAACUUGAGUGCAGAAGAGGAGAGUGGAAUUCCACGUGUAGCGGUGAAAUGCGUAGAGAUGUGGAGGAACACCAGUGGCGAAGGCGACUCUCUGGUCUGUAACUGACGCUGAGGAGCGAAAGCGUGGGGAGCGAACAGGAUUAGAUACCCCAGUAGUCCCUGUCUCUUAUACC
Molecule: ribosomal RNA, 301 nt
Filed under: uncultured bacterium
Lineage: Bacteria
Description: partial 16S ribosomal RNA
Rfam family: Bacterial small subunit ribosomal RNA
Source: RNAcentral